UAAUCCUACGGGAGGCAGCAGUGAGGAAUAUUGGUCAAUGGCCGAAGGGCUGAACCAGCCAAGCCGCGUGAAGGAAUAAGGCCCUACGGGUCGUAAACUUCUUUAGUCAGGGAACAAAGGGUGCCACGCGCGGCGCUGUGAGUGUACCUGAAGAAUAAGCAUCGGCUAACUCCGUGCCAGCAGCCGCGGUAAUACGGAGGAUGCGAGCGUUAUCCGGAUUUAUUGGGUUUAAAGGGUGCGUAGGCGGACUGUCAAGUCAGCGGUAAAAUACGGGGGCUCAACCUCCGCCCGCCGUUGAAACUGAC
Molecule: ribosomal RNA, 305 nt
Filed under: uncultured bacterium
Lineage: Bacteria
Description: bacterial SSU rRNA
Rfam family: Bacterial small subunit ribosomal RNA
Source: RNAcentral